RNAcentral lists this ribosomal RNA (495 nucleotides) under uncultured bacterium. RNAcentral describes it as "partial 16S ribosomal RNA". It matches the Rfam family "Bacterial small subunit ribosomal RNA", at positions 28 to 507 of the family's 1533-position model. The record is from RNAcentral.
GACGAACGCUGGCGGCGUGCCUAAUACAUGCAAGUAGAACGCUGAAGGAGGAGCUUGCUUCUCUGGAUGAUUUGCGAACGGGUGAGUAACGCGUAGGUAACCUGCCUGGUAGCGGGGGAUAACUAUUGGAAACGAUAGCUAAUACCGCAUAAUAUUAGAUGUUGCAUGACAUUUGCUUAAAAGGUGCAAUUUCAUCACUACCAGAUGGACCUCCGUUGUAUUAAGUAGUUGGUGGUGUAAAGGCUCAACAAGGCGACGAUACAUAGUCGACCUGAGAGGGGGAUCGGCCCACAUUGGAAUGGAGCAACGCCCAAGACCCCAAGGGGAGGAGCCGGAGGGAAACUUCGGGAAUGGGGGGAAGUCUGGACGGGCAACGGCGGGGGGGGGAAGAAGGGUUUCGGGACGUAAAGAUCUGUUGUAGAAGGAGAAAGAGUGUGGGAGGGAAAAGUUCACACUGUGACGGUACCUAAUCAGAAAGGGACGGCUAACUACGUG